UCUUGUUUACGACCGUAUCUGCCUUUCGAACGAAUGUAUCUAUUCGAAUGUGUUCGAAAACUGUAUUCUUGUUUUCGUUCGUAUGCGUAUCGAAUACGAUUCGUAUGCGAAAAAGUAUUGCCGCACGAGCACCUUCUUUCGAAACAAUUCUAAGCUGUCAAAAAGGUGAAAAACGAAAACAAAACAGGGAAAAUCCUAAUUUUUAUUUAUCAGCAACCACGGAUUCAUCGUUUGUGAUUCCUGAGUUGGUUUUAUUUGUGGUGUAACUUGGACGGCUAGGACCGCUUACGGUCCAUCUCGCGAGUGGUUCCUGAUUUGUUUAUUGGAAAUCCGGAUUUUCCCGCUUUUCGUUAUUUGAGUGGUAAAAGUGUCGUUUUCAAUCGUAUCUGGUAGUAGGGUAAGGAGACGGAACGGUCAGUGACAAAAGUCCUUCCAAAUCAUCCCGCGGGGAUCCAGUCGGUGGUAUUUUGACCUUGAAGAAAUUCCCCAUGAGGAAUGGGCACAUUGAUACUGGACAUUGUAGCAGACGAGGAUGUGAGGGAACAUAUGAGACGGCAGCGAUCCUGUCUCCGUAAACGGUUGGAUAUUUUAGAGAUGCCUGAUUAAACGUUCAUCAGUUUUGAGUAAAAAAACUGAAAUAUCGCUUCCUUGAAGAUGAAUUCAGUUGAACGCAAUUUUGCUGCUUCUCAACGCUGAAAGUACACACCAAAUUUUUAUUGCUGGAAGCCAGCAAAAUUUUGCUGAUUUUUGUUGUGCUGUAAAUCCAGCAAUUGAAUCAGCAAUUCAAAACAUUGCUGAACUUACAGCAAUGUUUUUUGACAGCUCGAUUGCUGGCUUUCAGCAAUUAUUUUUAUCUCGCGCAGCUUGGCUAUUGCUGAUCAACCAGCAAAUGCCUAAGCUCAGUUUUUCUGUUCCGUCAAAACUUUUCGAAUAAAAUCUUGAAAUAAAACUACAAUUAACCUAUUGUACGCUCCACGUGGGUCUUUAUAUUCACUUUAUAUUAACAAUAUGUUUAAAGACAAUGUGUUUUUGUUUCAUAAAAUGUUUGGACCUAGAAGUGAGCCGAGACGCAGAAGUUCUACUAGAUUCAGUUAUCUGAAAUGAAAUGUACCAUAAUCAUGUCAAGGUUUUUAACUAAAUGCAUUAAAAAGCUUACCUGAUGUUGAAAUCUUCCGAAUUUGGGAAUUCUAUCAAUAUUUUGGGAGGAAAAAAUUCUACUUUGUUAUUAUAUGGAUGCUGCAGGAAAGG
Molecule: long non-coding RNA, 1248 nt
Organism: Aedes aegypti (yellow fever mosquito)
Lineage: Eukaryota; Metazoa; Arthropoda; Insecta; Diptera; Culicidae
Exons: 2
Source: RefSeq, a predicted model, not a curated record